RNAcentral lists this ribosomal RNA (1401 nucleotides) under uncultured bacterium. Its description in RNAcentral is "bacterial SSU rRNA". It matches the Rfam family "Bacterial small subunit ribosomal RNA". The record is from RNAcentral.
AGAGUUUGAUCCUGGCUCAGAUUGAACGCUGGCGGCAGGCCUAACACAUGCAAGUCGAACGGUAACAGGAAGAAGCUUGCUUCUUUGCUGACGAGUGGCGGACGGGUGAGUAAUGUCUGGGAAACUGCCUGAUGGAGGGGGAUAACUACUGGAAACGGUAGCUAAUACCGCAUAACGUCGCAAGACCAAAGAGGGGGACCUUCGGGCCUCUUGCCAUCGGAUGUGCCCAGAUGGGAUUAGCUUGUUGGUGGGGUAACGGCUCACCAAGGCGACGAUCCCUAGCUGGUCUGAGAGGAUGACCAGCCACACUGGAACUGAGACACGGUCCAGACUCCUACGGGAGGCAGCAGUGGGGAAUAUUGCACAAUGGGCGCAAGCCUGAUGCAGCCAUGCCGCGUGUAUGAAGAAGGCCUUCGGGUUGUAAAGUACUUUCAGCGGGGAGGAAGGGAGUAAAGUUAAUACCUUUGCUCAUUGACGUUACCCGCAGAAGAAGCACCGGCUAACUCCGUGCCAGCAGCCGCGGUAAUACGGAGGGUGCAAGCGUUAAUCGGAAUUACUGGGCGUAAAGCGCACGCAGGCGGUUUGUUAAGUCAGAUGUGAAAUCCCCGGGCUCAACCUGGGAACUGCAUCUGAUACUGGCAAGCUUGAGUCUCGUAGAGGGGGGUAGAAUUCCAGGUGUAGCGGUGAAAUGCGUAGAGAUCUGGAGGAAUACCGGUGGCGAAGGCGGCCCCCUGGACGAAGACUGACGCUCAGGUGCGAAAGCGUGGGGAGCAAACAGGAUUAGAUACCCUGGUAGUCCACGCCGUAAACGUUGUCGACUUGGAGGUUGUGCCCUUGAGGCGUGGCUUCCGGAGCUAACGCGUUAAGUCGACCGCCUGGGGAGUACGGCCGCAAGGUUAAAACUCAAAUGAAUUGACGGGGGCCCGCACAAGCGGUGGAGCAUGUGGUUUAAUUCGAUGCAACGCGAAGAACCUUACCUGGUCUUGACAUCCACGGAAGUUUUCAGAGAUGAGAAUGUGCCUUCGGGAACCGUGAGACAGGUGCUGCAUGGCUGUCGUCAGCUCGUGUUGUGAAAUGUUGGGUUAAGUCCCGCAACGAGCGCAACCCUUAUCCUUUGUUGCCAGCGGUCCGGCCGGGAACUCAAAGGAGACUGCCAGUGAUAAACUGGAGGAAGGUGGGGAUGACGUCAAGUCAUCAUGGCCCUUACGACCAGGGCUACACACGUGCUACAAUGGCGCAUACAAAGAGAAGCGACCUCGCGAGAGCAAGCGGACCUCAUAAAGUGCGUCGUAGUCCGGAUUGGAGUCUGCAACUCGACUCCAUGAAGUCGGAAUCGCUAGUAAUCGUGGAUCAGAAUGCCACGGUGAAUACGUUCCCGGGCCUUGCACUCAACGCCCGUCA